Molecule: ribosomal RNA, 476 nt
Filed under: Candidatus Scalindua wagneri
Lineage: Bacteria; Pseudomonadati; Planctomycetota; Candidatus Brocadiia; Candidatus Brocadiales; Candidatus Scalinduaceae
Description: bacterial SSU rRNA
Rfam family: Bacterial small subunit ribosomal RNA
Source: RNAcentral
UUCGCAAUGCCCGAAAGGGUGACGAUGCGACGCCGCGUGAGCGAAGAAGGCCCUAGGGUUGUAAAGCUCUGUCGAGGGUUAUGAAAUAUAGAUGGGUUAAUACCCCAUUUAUUUGACAAGAGCCCAAAAGGAAGCCACGGCUAACUCUGUGCCAGCAGCCGCGGUAAUACAGAGGUGGCGAGCGUUGUUCGGUAUUAUUGGGCGUAAAGAGCACGUAGGUGGUUUUGUAAGUCAGGUGUGAAAGCCUUCUGUUCAAAGGAAGAACGGCAUCUGAAACUGCAGAUCUUGAGUGUAGGAGGGGAGAGUGGAACUUCUGGUGGAGCGGUGAAAUGCGUAGAUAUCAGAAGGAACGUCGGCGGCGAAAGCGACUCUCUGGCCUAUUACUGACACUGAGGUGCGAAAGUUAGGGGAGCAAACGGGAUUAGAUACCCCGGUAGUCCUAACCGUAAACGAUGGGCACUAAGUAGAGGGGUUUU